This 700-nucleotide long non-coding RNA is filed under the name Homo sapiens (human). RNAcentral describes it as "non-protein coding lnc-LRP3-1:1". The record is from RNAcentral. Lineage: Eukaryota; Metazoa; Chordata; Mammalia; Primates; Hominidae.
GUUUUCCAGUCACAUCCCAGGAGCCCUAAAUACAUCCAGAUAAGGACGAACUAAUUCCUGUGCCCCAGCCCCCAGAGGCAUUCUCUUGAUCCCGUCUGGCACAUCAGAGGCCAUGGGAAGUGCUUUUGGAUCUCCCUACGCACUGCCAUCUGCCUUGGAGACCCCCUAGGCAGCCCCAUCUUUCCUCUGAGACCUGAGCCACCCGGGACCCCAACACCCCGGGGUGAUCGGCUGCGGCCUGGGUGAAGCCUACUCGCCUCAAGCGCACGGGUGUCCUCACAUCCUCACGGAGAUGAGCGGAAGUGUGCGGCCCUCUCCGGCUCGUUCGGCUCAGCCAGCCCAGCCAAGCAAACCUCGCCCAGGGCCCUGUCUCCUGGCUGAGGCUUCUCAUGGUCACCGGACCUCUAUUCCAUCACAAAUCCUUCGGCUCUCAUCUUCCAAACUCAUCCGGAAUGGAACCUCCUCUGACACCACCAUGGCCACCGCCCUGCCCUGAGCCACCGUGGUCUCUUGCCCGGGGAGACCCAGGUAGCCUCCUGACCGGCCUUCCUCCUCCCACUUCUUCCCCCACUGCCUCUUCUCCAUAGUGGGCCCUGUAAGCCCCAUCCCAUCAUCCCUCUGCUCAAAGCCCAGGGCUCCUGCUUCACAGAGAGCAAAAGGCAAUGCCCUUAACAUAGCUUGCAAUGCCUUGCUCACACUG